AUUGAACGCUGGCGGCAGGCCUAACACAUGCAAGUCGAACGGUAACAGGAAGAAGCUUGCUUCUUUGCUGACGAGUGGCGGACGGGUGAGUAAUGUCUGGGAAACUUCCUGAUGGAGGGGGAUAACUACUGGAAACGGUAGCUAAUACCGCAUAACGUCGCAAGACCAAAGAGGGGGACCUUCGGGCCUCUUGCCAUCGGAUGUGCCCAGAUGGUAUUAGCUAGUAGGUGGGGUAACGGCUCACCUAGGCGACGAUCCCUAGCUGGUCUGAGAGGAUGACCAGCCACACUGGAACUGAGACACGGUCCAGACUCCUACGGGAGGCAGCAGUGGGGAAUAUUGCACAAUGGGCGCAAGCCUGAUGCAGCCAUGCCGCGUGUAUGAAGAAGGCCUUCGGGUUGUAAAGUACUUUCAGCGGGGAGGAAGGGAGUAAAGUUAAUACCUUGGCUCAUUGACGUUACCCGCAGAAGAAGCACCGGCUAACUCCGUG
Molecule: ribosomal RNA, 490 nt
Filed under: uncultured bacterium
Lineage: Bacteria
Description: partial 16S ribosomal RNA
Rfam family: Bacterial small subunit ribosomal RNA
Source: RNAcentral